CCUACGGCAGGCAGCAGUGGGGAAUUUUGGACAAUGGGCGCAAGCCUGAUCCAGCCAUUCCGCGUGAGUGAAGAAGGCCUUCGGGUUGUAAAGCUCUUUCGCAAGAGAAGAAAACUUACUUUCCAAUAAAGAGUGAGGUUGACGGUAUCUUGAUAAGAAGCACCGGCUAACUACGUGCCAGCAGCCGCGGUAAUACGUAGGGUGCGAGCGUUAAUCGGAAUUACUGGGCGUAAAGCGUGCGCAGGCUGUUUUGUAAGUCAGAUGUGAAAUCCCCGAGCUCAACUUGGGAACUGCGUUUGAAACUACAAGACUAGAAUAUGUCAGAGGGGGGUAGAAUUCCACGUGUAGCAGUGAAAUGCGUAGAGAUGUGGAGGAAUACCAAUGGCGAAGGCAGCCCCCUGGGAUAAUAUUGACGCUCAUGCACGAAAGCGUGGGGAGCAAACAGGAUUAGAUACCCUGGUAGUCCACGCCAUAAACCGAUGUCUACUAGUUGUUGGUGGAGUAAAAUCCAUGAGUAACGCAGCUAACGCGUGAAGUAGACCGCCUGGGGAGUACGGUCGCAAGAUUAAAACGUCAAAGGAAUUGACGG
RNAcentral lists this ribosomal RNA (589 nucleotides) under uncultured bacterium. Its description in RNAcentral is "bacterial SSU rRNA". It matches the Rfam family "Bacterial small subunit ribosomal RNA", at positions 338 to 916 of the family's 1533-position model. The record is from RNAcentral.